GAUGAACGCUGGCGGCGUGCCUAAUACAUGCAAGUCGAGCGAACAGAUGAGGAGCUUGCUCCUCUGACGUUAGCGGCGGACGGGUGGGUAACACGUGGAUAACCUACCUAUAAGACUGGGAUAACUUCGGGAAACCGGAGCUAUACCGGAUAAUAUAUUGAACCGCAUGGUUCAAUAGUGAAAGACGGUUUUGCUGUCACUUAUAGAUGGAUCCGCGCCGCAUUAGCUAGUUGGUAAGGUAACGGCUUACCAAGGCAACGAUGCGUAGCCGACCUGAGAGGGUGAUCGGCCACACUGGAACUGAGACACGGUCCAGCCUCCUACGGGAGGCAGCAGUAGGGAAUCUUCCGCAAUGGGCGAAAGCCUGACGGAGCAACGCCGCGUGAGUGAUGAAGGUCUUCGGAUCGUAAAACUCUGUUAUUAGGGAAGAACAAAUGUGUAAGUAACUAUGCACGUCUUGACGGUACCUAAUCAGAAAGCCACGGCUAACUACGUG
This 496-nucleotide ribosomal RNA is filed under the name uncultured bacterium. Its description in RNAcentral is "partial 16S ribosomal RNA". It matches the Rfam family "Bacterial small subunit ribosomal RNA", at positions 28 to 507 of the family's 1533-position model. The record is from RNAcentral.